CGAAAGCCUGACGGGAGCAAGACCGCGUGAGGGAGGAAGGCUCUAGGGUUGUAAACCUCUUUUCUCAGGGAAGAAGCUCUGACGGUACCUGAGGAAUCAGCAUCGGCUAACUCCGUGCCAGCAGCCGCGGUAAUACGGAGGAUGCAAGCGUUAUCCGGAAUUAUUGGGCGUAAAGCGUUCGCAGGUGGCUGUUCAAGUCUGCUGUCAAAGCCCGGGGCUUAACCCUGGAAAGGCGGUGGAAACUGAGUAGCUAGAGUGCAGUAUGGGUAGAGGGAAUUCCCAGUGUAGCGGUGAAAUGCGUAGAGAUUGGGAAGAACACCGGUGGCGAAAGCGCUCUGCUGGACUGCAACUGACACUGAGGGACGAAAGCUAGGGGAGCG
This 380-nucleotide ribosomal RNA is filed under the name uncultured cyanobacterium. RNAcentral's name for it is "bacterial SSU rRNA". It matches the Rfam family "Bacterial small subunit ribosomal RNA", at positions 376 to 770 of the family's 1533-position model. The record is from RNAcentral. Lineage: Bacteria; Bacillati; Cyanobacteriota.